This 572-nucleotide ribosomal RNA is filed under the name uncultured bacterium. RNAcentral describes it as "partial 16S ribosomal RNA". It matches the Rfam family "Bacterial small subunit ribosomal RNA", at positions 354 to 935 of the family's 1533-position model. The record is from RNAcentral.
UGGGGGAAUAUUGCACAAUGGGCGAAAGCCUGAUGCAGCAACGCCGCGUGAGGGACGACGGCCUUCGGGUUGUAAACCUCUUUUAGCAAGGAAGAAGCGAAAGUGACGGUACUUGCAGAAAAAGCGCCGGCUAACUACGUGCCAGCAGCCGCGGUAAUACGUAGGGCGCAAGCGUUAUCCGGAAUUAUUGGGCGUAAAGAGCUCGUAGGCGGUUUGUCGCGUCUGCUGUGAAAACCCGAGGCUCAACCUCGGGCCUGCAGUGGGUACGGGCAGACUAGAGUGCGGUAGGGGAGAUUGGAACUCCCGGUGUAGCGGUGGAAUGCGCAGAUAUCAGGAAGAACACCGAUGGCGAAGGCAGAUCUCUGGGCCGUAACUGACGCUGAGGAGCGAAAAGGGUGGGGGAGCAAAACAGGGCUUAGAUACCCCUGGUAGUCCACCCCGUAAACGUUGGGAACUAGUUGUGGGGUCCAUUCCACGGAUUCCGUGACGCAGCUAACGCAUUAAGUUCCCCGCCUGGGGGAGUACGGCCGCAAGGCUAAAACUUAAAGGAAUUGACGGGGUCAUAGCUGUUU